CCUACGGGUGGCAGCAGUGAGGAAUAUUGGUCAAUGGACGCAAGUCUGAACCAGCCAUGCCGCGUGCAGGAUGACGGCUCUAUGAGUUGUAAACUGCUUUUGUACGAGGGUAAACGCAGACACGCGUACCUGUCUGAAAGUAUUUUAUGAAUAAGGAUCGGCUAACUCCGUGCCAGCAGCCGCGGUAAUACGGAGGAUUCAAGCGUUAUCCGGAUUUAUUGGGUUUAAAGGGUGCGUAGGCGGUCGGAUAAGUUAGAGGUGAAAUCGCGCGGCUCAACCUCGGAAUUGCAUCUGAUACUGUUCGGCUAGAGAAUAGUUGCGGUAGGCGGAAUGUAUGGUGUAGCGGUGAAAUGCUUAGAGAUCAUACAGAACACCGAUUGCGAAGGCAGCUUACCAAGCUACUUCUGACAUUGAGGCACGAAAGCGUGGGGAGCAAACAGGAUUAGAUACCCUAGUAGUC
Molecule: ribosomal RNA, 460 nt
Filed under: uncultured bacterium
Lineage: Bacteria
Description: partial 16S ribosomal RNA
Rfam family: Bacterial small subunit ribosomal RNA
Source: RNAcentral